UAAAUAUUUUAACUUCGAUGAGAGAUACUUCCUCAGUACUAUUGCAUGAUGGUAUGAAGAGAAGUAACAAUGUCAAUAUUUACAUUCCUUAAAUAGUUCACGUGAUUUAGUACACGCUACAUUCUGCGUAUAAUUAAGAAAACAGUUGCAAAAUAUCAUUUUAGCAAAGAUUUGUUGUUCAAGGUGGAAGAAAAUUUAAAAUAGUAAGGAGCUAUUUUAAAAUGAAGAUGCUGUUAAUACCAUUUCUCGUUACAACACUGAUGUCAAGCGCUGCAGCUGUUGACAGAUGUGGGGACAGAUGUACAUCUACUCAAGUAUGUACAGAUGAUGGAAUAUGUUUCGUCCUUACAUGUAAAACAACAAGACGUGUCUGUCGACAUUUCGCUCGACUAAUUGAAGAAUUUUGAUGCAAGUUUGGCAUUAAAAUAUUCAGUAAUUUCUAAGUAAAAAAAGCGCAAUAACUGCACCAACAUCCUUAUCCUAGUUAUGUAGUCUUGCCUACAUAUGGAGAUUAUGAUCGUAAACAAGUCGUCAAUAUCAAAGCCAUAUGUCAAACAGUUUAGACAUAGUAUGAACUGAAACUGAUUUCCAAGUCCAAAAAGAGUUCAUAGAACACGAAAUAACCCCCUUUAUGUAUUCAGUAAUUGCACAAGGAACAUAAAAUUAUUUGGUCACAGUACACAAAAGUUCUACUGUUCUGGAUCAAUGUGACCUUGAAAUUUGACUAUUGACCUCAAAAUCAAUAGGGGUCAUCUGCUGGUCAUGAUCAACCACCCUAUUAAGUUUCGUGAUCCUAGGCCCAAACAUUCUCAAGAUAUCGUCCAGAAAUGGUUUAACUGUUCUGGGUCAAUGUGACAUUGACCUUUGACCUACUGACCUCAAAUUCACUAGGGGUCAUCUGCUGGUCAUGACCAACCUUCAUAUCAACAUUCAUGAUCCUAGGCCUAAGCGUUCUUGAGUUCUCAUCCGGAAACCGUUUAACUCUUCAGGGUCAGUGUGACCUUGACCUUUGACAUACUGAUUUCAAAAUCAAUAAGGGUCAUCUGCUGGUCAUGACCAACCUUCCUAUCAACUUUCCUGAUCCUAGGCCUAAGCGUUCUUGAGUUAUCAACCGGAAACGGAUUUGUCUACAUACCGACCGACCAACCGACAUCUGCAAAACAAUAUACCCCUCCUUCUCCGAAGCGGGCAUUAAAAGACCAAAAGUCAGCUAAAUAUCGUUGCCAUAGUUGCAUACCCUUGAUUAUUAACAAGAGACCACUAUUUCAAAGCCAGUUAUCAAAUAGUUUUGACAAAACGUAGACUUGUCCGAAAACUGAAUCCAUUUCCAUGUCAAAAUAGGGUCAUAAUUCAGCCAAAAUACUUGACAGAGGUAUGUUUACACAAAAUAUGAACUGGUAUUAAAAUCUGUGUAAAAAUUUGUAGGCUUAAAGGGGUUAUAGUUCAGACAAUAUAAAUCCUUAAUGGAGUUAUGUACUCUUGUCUGAAACUGGACAUGGUGGUGUUACACAAGAGUUGAAUGUUUCAAAGGUAUAUGUCAAAAGCUUUUGACAGAAUGUGCACUAGUACGAAAACCUUAACCGUGGUGAGUAGGAUAGCUCUCCUUAUUCUUCGAAUAGUCGAGAUGAAAAUACCAGGUAUAUUUCGCUCAAAUAUUUCGAUAAUUCACUGAAAAACAUAUGCUGGGUAAUUCUAAGUAUUAAUUAAAAAUAGUUUUCUCUGAACGCCUGCAUCUCUGUUCACUCGGUGAAAUAUAGUUUCUUUGAUCUUAAACUGAAACAGAUGCUCUUUAAUAACUCAAUAUAACUUUAUAAGUUUGAAAGAAUGUCUAAAAUCAUAGAUCUACAUUCUGUUGCGAUACAAAACACUGUUGUUUUUUCUUUCGAGCCUUCCUCCUUUAGAUUUAGAAAGGAAAUAAUGAAUUGUUGUGCAGUAAAAAGAGUCAAUAAUCAAGCAGGUCGACAUGUUCAUCUAAAAACGCAACAAUUUGCGGUGUGUUUAUGUGCGUGUAGGUUUAGGUUUGUUAGAAAGAUUAAUAUACACCAAAAUAAACAUGUCUGAUUUAAGAACUAAACAAAAUAUAUGCUGAAAACGGAAUAUUUGAGGCCUUGUGCAUAUAUAAUACUUCGUAUCUUAAUAGCAGGUACAUGGCCUUCCUCGUACUACUGCCAAAAGGGGUACAAGUGCUGCGGUUUUAAUGGUUGUAUGCCAGCAGGUGCUGUAUGCUGUGGGAGCAUUUUCCAUUGUCCGAGUGGCCAUACUUGCUGCGGGACGAUGUAUUGUUGCGCAGCGGAAACUUUCUGUGAUGGAAAUGGAAAUAGUAUUUUAGAUCUUCCUCCUUAUAACCCAAGCAGAACGUCACGUUUAUCCAAAAACUCAAGAAUUUGCGGUGUGUUUAUGUGUGUACUGAUUUAGGCUUGUGACAGAGAUUGAUACACACAAAUAAUAAACAUGUCUGAUUCAAGAACUGAACAAAAUAUAUGCUAAAAACGGAAUAUUUGAGUUUAUUCACAUGUAAUACUUCUUUUCUUAAUGUCAGAUGAAUGGCCUUUUUUCGUACUACUGCCAAAAGGGGUACGACUGCUGCGGCCUUCGGGGCCUUCAGGGGAUUUGUAUGCCAGCGGGAGCUGUAUGCUGUGACAGCAUUUCCUAUUGUCCGAGUGGCCAUACUUGCUGCGGGACAAUGUAUUGUUGCAAAGCGGGAACCUUCUGUGAUGGAAAAGGGCAUUGUGUUUUAGAUAAGUAUUCAGCUCGGAAGCAAAAUGGAACGAGAACACCUUUUAAAACAACAAGAACAUUAUAUCCAACAAGAA
Molecule: long non-coding RNA, 2813 nt
Organism: Mercenaria mercenaria
Lineage: Eukaryota; Metazoa; Mollusca; Bivalvia; Venerida; Veneridae
Exons: 4
Source: RefSeq, a predicted model, not a curated record